AAAUUGAAGAGUUUGAUCAUGGCUCAGAUUGAACGCUGGCGGCAGGCCUAACACAUGCAAGUCGAACGGUAGCACAGAGAGCUUGCUCUCGGGUGACGAGUGGCGGACGGGUGAGUAAUGUCUGGGAAACUGCCUGAUGGAGGGGGAUAACUACUGGAAACGGUAGCUAAUACCGCAUAACGUCGCAAGACCAAAGAGGGGGACCUUCGGGCCUCUUGCCAUCAGAUGUGCCCAGAUGGGAUUAGCUAGUAGGUGGGGUAAUGGCUCACCUAGGCGACGAUCCCUAGCUGGUCUGAGAGGAUGACCAGCCACACUGGAACUGAGACACGGUCCAGACUCCUACGGGAGGCAGCAGUGGGGAAUAUUGCACAAUGGGCGCAAGCCUGAUGCAGCCAUGCCGCGUGUAUGAAGAAGGCCUUCGGGUUGUAAAGUACUUUCAGCGGGGAGGAAGGUGUUGUGGUUAAUAACCACAGCAAUUGACGUUACCCGCAGAAGAAGCACCGGCUAACUCCGUGCCAGCAGCCGCGGUAAUACGGAGGGUGCAAGCGUUAAUCGGAAUUACUGGGCGUAAAGCGCACGCAGGCGGUCUGUCAAGUCGGAUGUGAAAUCCCCGGGCUCAACCUGGGAACUGCAUUCGAAACUGGCAGGCUAGAGUCUUGUAGAGGGGGGUAGAAUUCCAGGUGUAGCGGUGAAAUGCGUAGAGAUCUGGAGGAAUACCGGUGGCGAAGGCGGCCCCCUGGACAAAGACUGACGCUCAGGUGCGAAAGCGUGGGGAGCAAACAGGAUUAGAUACCCUGGUAGUCCACGCCGUAAACGAUGUCGACUUGGAGGUUGUGCCCUUGAGGCGUGGCUUCCGGAGCUAACGCGUUAAGUCGACCGCCUGGGGAGUACGGCCGCAAGGUUAAAACUCAAAUGAAUUGACGGGGGCCCGCACAAGCGGUGGAGCAUGUGGUUUAAUUCGAUGCAACGCGAAGAACCUUACCUACUCUUGACAUCCAGAGAACUUUCCAGAGAUGGAUUGGUGCCUUCGGGAACUCUGAGACAGGUGCUGCAUGGCUGUCGUCAGCUCGUGUUGUGAAAUGUUGGGUUAAGUCCCGCAACGAGCGCAACCCUUAUCCUUUGUUGCCAGCGGUCCGGCCGGGAACUCAAAGGAGACUGCCAGUGAUAAACUGGAGGAAGGUGGGGAUGACGUCAAGUCAUCAUGGCCCUUACGAGUAGGGCUACACACGUGCUACAAUGGCGCAUACAAAGAGAAGCGAACUCGCGAGAGCAAGCGGACCUCAUAAAGUGCGUCGUAGUCCGGAUUGGAGUCUGCAACUCGACUCCAUGAAGUCGGAAUCGCUAGUAAUCGUAGAUCAGAAUGCUACGGUGAAUACGUUCCCGGGCCUUGUACACACCGCCCGUCACACCAUGGGAGUGGGUUGCAAAAGAAGUAGGUAGCUUAACCUUCGGGAGGGCGCUUACCACUUUGUGAUUCAUGACUGGGGUGAAGUCGUAACAAGGUAACCGUAGGGGAACCUGCGGUUGGAUCACCUCCUUACCUUAAAGAA
RNAcentral lists this ribosomal RNA (1550 nucleotides) under Enterobacter cloacae complex sp. FDA-CDC-AR_0164. RNAcentral describes it as "bacterial SSU rRNA". It matches the Rfam family "Bacterial small subunit ribosomal RNA". Lineage: Bacteria; Pseudomonadati; Pseudomonadota; Gammaproteobacteria; Enterobacterales; Enterobacteriaceae. The record is from RNAcentral.